Non-coding RNA from Myotis lucifugus (little brown bat), 126 nucleotides. NCBI's taxonomy places the organism in Eukaryota, Metazoa, Chordata, Mammalia, Chiroptera, Vespertilionidae. The record is from Rfam.
CAUGUACCAGAGGGGUCCCUCGGCCUGGCCUGUGGGAUCGGGCCAAAACCAGGUCUCUGACAUCCUCUGAGGGGUCCUGGAUUGCGAGAGGGUGCAGGCCAGGCUGAGGGACCCCACUGGUGCACG